GAUGAAGAACGUAGCGAAAUGCGAUAAGUAAUGUGAAUUGCAGAAUUCAGUGAAUCAUCGAAUCUUUGAACGCACAUUGCGCCCCCUGGUAUUCCGGGGGGCAUGCCUGUCCGAGCGUCAUUACAACCCUCAAGCUCUGCUUGGUGUUGGGCCCCGCCGCCCCGGCGGGCCCUAAAGUCAGUGGCGGUGCCAUCCGGCUCCGAGCGUAGUAAUUCUUCUCGCUCUGGAGGUCCGGUUGUGUGCUUGCCAUCAACCCCCAAUUUUUUUCAGGUUGACCUCGGAUCAGGUAGGGAUACCCGCUGAACUUAAGCAUAUCAAUAAGCGGAGG
Molecule: unclassified non-coding RNA, 328 nt
Filed under: soil metagenome
Description: partial contains 5.8S ribosomal RNA, internal transcribed spacer 2, and large subunit ribosomal RNA
Rfam family: 5.8S ribosomal RNA (bases 1-120)
Source: RNAcentral